UAUGUGCUCACAAUGGCUGUUUCAUGAAGGGACCCCUCCAAGGAGGAUCUUGCCAAGGCCAGCUCAGCAUCCCCUGGCUAGUAGGCACUCACAAGAUGCCCAACACCAUGUUCCUCUUCCCAAGGCAGCCUGGCUUUGUGGGUGGCUCAUCCCGUGCAGAUCUGGCCACUGUUUUUCCCGUUCCCUUAGGGGUCCCAGCCUGGUCCUCUGAGCUUCCAGACCUGAUUCAGUUGCUCCAGGUGCUGAGAGACAGUGUUUUUUGCUCGGAUUUAUAGUGACAUGCCUACGAAGUCCUGCCAACUGAGACUCUGCCACUGAGAAGAACAGGAAUAUUAUGACAUGCUUCCUCACCCUUCACUGAGGGACUGAACCAGGAGAAGAGGUCCUCUCCACAGACAGGUAAAGACCAAGGUCAACCCCUGGAGGAGUUGUAAAAAAAACGUGUAAAAAAAAAACAAAAACAAAACAAAUAACAAAAAACAAAAAAACCUGAAUUGUCCUAUAAAGAC
Canis lupus familiaris (dog) is the source of this 509-nucleotide long non-coding RNA. RefSeq lists it as uncharacterized. The record is from RefSeq and is a predicted model, not a curated record. The transcript has 2 exons. Lineage: Eukaryota; Metazoa; Chordata; Mammalia; Carnivora; Canidae.